This 496-nucleotide ribosomal RNA is filed under the name uncultured bacterium. Its description in RNAcentral is "partial 16S ribosomal RNA". It matches the Rfam family "Bacterial small subunit ribosomal RNA", at positions 28 to 507 of the family's 1533-position model. The record is from RNAcentral.
GAUGAACGCUGCGGCGUGCCUCAUACCUGCCAGUCGCGCGAACAGACGAGGAGCUUGCUCCUCUGACGUUAGCGGCGGACGGGUGAGUAACACGUGGAUAACCUACCUAUAAGACUGGGAUAACUUCGGGAAACCGGAGCUAAUACCGGAUAAUAUAUUGAACCGCAUGGUUCAAUAGUGAAAGACGGUUUUGCUGUCACUUAUAGAUGGAUCCGCGCCGCAUUAGCUAGUUGGUAAGGUAACGGCUUACCAAGGCGACGAUGCGUAGCCGACCUGAGAGGGUGAUCGGCCACACUGGAACUGAGACACGGUCCAGACUCCUACGGGAGGCAGCAGUAGGGAAUCUUCCGCAAUGGGCGAAAGCCUGACGGAGCAACGCCGCGUGAGUGAUGAAGGUCUUCGGAUCGUAAAACUCUGUUAUUAGGGAAGAACAAAUGUGUAAGUAACUAUGCACGUCUUGACGGUACCUAAUCAGAAAGCCACGGCUAACUACGUG